GUUAGUAUAGUUUAACAAAAACAUUAGGCCGUGGCCCUAAAAAUAGAAGUUCAUUUCUUUUUACAAAC
RNAcentral lists this transfer RNA (68 nucleotides) under Phrynosoma goodei x Phrynosoma mcallii. RNAcentral describes it as "tRNA-His". It matches the Rfam family "tRNA". From Rfam's summary of the family: Transfer RNA (tRNA) molecules are approximately 80 nucleotides in length. Their secondary structure includes four short double-helical elements and three loops (D, anti-codon, and T loops). The record is from RNAcentral. Lineage: Eukaryota; Metazoa; Chordata; Lepidosauria; Squamata; Phrynosomatidae.